Molecule: ribosomal RNA, 253 nt
Filed under: uncultured bacterium
Lineage: Bacteria
Description: partial 16S ribosomal RNA
Rfam family: Bacterial small subunit ribosomal RNA
Source: RNAcentral
UACGUAGGGGGCGAGCGUUGUCCGGAAUUAUUGGGCGUAAAGGGCGCGUAGGCGGCUGGGCAAGUCAAAGGUGAAAUCCCUCGGCUCAACUGAGGAACUGCCUUUGAAACUGCCUGGCUUGAGGCCGGGAGGGGGUAGCGGAAUUCCCAGUGUAGCGGUGAAAUGCGUAGAUAUUGGGAGGAACACCAGUGGCGAAGGCGGCUACCUGGACCGGUACUGACGCUGAGGUGCGAAAGCGUGGGGAGCAAACAGG